RNAcentral lists this long non-coding RNA (619 nucleotides) under Zostera marina. RNAcentral describes it as "long non-coding RNA (ZMAR_LNC000807)". Lineage: Eukaryota; Viridiplantae; Streptophyta; Magnoliopsida; Alismatales; Zosteraceae. The record is from RNAcentral.
CCCUACUCCGGUGAAAUUUGGGCAGUCUACUCUGAUUGGUUUCAGUCUAUCCCCCUCCUGGUUCGGUUGAUGAUAUCCCGGGGGUCGCGGUGGAGGAGGUGGUAGAAUUGUCGUCACCAUUGGUACCGCUAUUUGCUCUCGUAUCCCUGCUAUCACCGAGUCUUGCCGUCUCACCAACUCUGUCAUCUGCCGCAAGUGAUCGGACAUAAUUGCCGUCAUCUCCCUCUUCAAUUCAUUCAUGGUCAGUGGUUCUUCCUCCUCUCCUGUCAUGUCAAAAAAAUCACCUGCAACUAAUACAAUUUUCCAGUAAUAUUUAAAUUGCAAUUUCCACAGGAAAAAUAACACCUUUGGAGCUAUGGGUGCCCCUUGUUCUAACAAGAUAAAAUCUUCGUCGGAACAAGUGGACAAUCGCUAAUCCGUUCGGAAGACUUCUUUGUCCAAGAUGUUGCCUUCUAAAUUUGAUCUUGCCAGAGCCAAGCGGACAAUUGCCAAUCCUUUUGGAAGACUUCCUUGUCCAAGAUGUUAAUCGAAAUGAAAGCACCAAAAUGUUACGAGUGCCGUAACAGUAGGGCUGCCGGAGUGAGUUCGCUAGAGAUUCCGACGAGCCAGAAUGGAAGAG